ACACGAAGAGCACCACACAGAGCGGCAGGUAGAAGGCGCCUACGGUGGAGAACACGGCGUAGGAAGGCUCGCGGCUUACCUGGCACUCCUCGCUGCCCUCAGAGUACGUCUCUCCCCAGCCAAAAAGCAGCGGGGCCAGAGAGAUGACAGCGGAGAGUGCCCAGGUGAGCGCGAUCAUGACGUUGGAGACGCACUUGCGGGUGCGGAGCGUGUAUUCCAUGUGGCGCGUGAUGGACCAGUAGCGGUCCAGGGCUAUGGCCGUCACGUUCCAGAUGCUGGCCGUGCAGCAGAGCACGUCACACGCGAUCCACAGCUGGCACAGCCUCCGACCCAGCUGCCAGCGGCGCCCGGACAGCUCGUGCACCAGGCUCAGCGGCAUGACCAACGCGGCCACCAGGACAUCCGAGAUGGCCAUGGACGCCACCAGGUUGUGGGGCACGCGGUGGAAGGUGCGUACACGGAGGAUGGUCGCCAGCACCAGCAGGUUCCAGGCGAACGUCGCCGCCACCAGAAAACCCAGCAAGGCAGCCGCUGCAGCCUUAACUCCGUG
RNAcentral lists this non-coding RNA (550 nucleotides) under Pongo abelii (Sumatran orangutan). Lineage: Eukaryota; Metazoa; Chordata; Mammalia; Primates; Hominidae. The record is from RNAcentral.